GUGUCAGCAGCCGCGGUAAUACGUAGGUGGCAAGCGUUGUCCGGAAUUAUUGGGCGUAAAGCGCGCGCAGGUGGUUCCUUAAGUCUGAUGUGAGAGCCCACGGCUCAACCGUGGAGGGUCAUUGGAAACUGGGGAACUUGAGUGCAGAAGAGGAUAGUGGAAUUCCAAGUGUAGCGGUGAAAUGCGUAGAGAUUUGGAGGAACACCAGUGGCGAAGGCGGCUAUCUGGUCUGUAACUGACACUGAGGCGCGAAAGCGUGGGGAGCAAACAGGAUUAGAUACCCCGGUAGUUC
RNAcentral lists this ribosomal RNA (292 nucleotides) under uncultured prokaryote. RNAcentral's name for it is "partial 16S ribosomal RNA". It matches the Rfam family "Bacterial small subunit ribosomal RNA", at positions 505 to 796 of the family's 1533-position model. The record is from RNAcentral.